This 76-nucleotide transfer RNA is filed under the name Gallibacter intestinalis. Its description in RNAcentral is "tRNA-His". It matches the Rfam family "tRNA". Rfam says of the family: Transfer RNA (tRNA) molecules are approximately 80 nucleotides in length. Lineage: Bacteria; Bacillati; Bacillota; Clostridia; Eubacteriales; Eubacteriaceae. RNAcentral also lists the same sequence under 1 other name. The record is from RNAcentral.
GUGGGAGUAGUCAAGUGGUUAAGACAACGGAUUGUGGCUCCGUCAUGCGUGGGUUCGAAUCCCACCUUUCACCCCA